This 1986-nucleotide unclassified non-coding RNA is filed under the name Hevea brasiliensis (rubber tree). The record is from RNAcentral. Lineage: Eukaryota; Viridiplantae; Streptophyta; Magnoliopsida; Malpighiales; Euphorbiaceae.
CACAAUAUAGGCUACUCCAUUCAGCGCACAUUUCUCUCCCUCGCUCUCUCGCUCUCUCUCCAUCCAUCGACGGAAAAAGGAGAGAGUCGCAUCUCCUCAUAACACGCGAUUUGCUCCUGUCGCUCACCCACUUACGUCACAUACUUCUUCAAAAGUGCUACGAAUACACAUACAGAGAAUCAGAGAUGGGGCUUAGCUUUACGAAGCUAUUUAGCCGGCUUUUUGCCAAGAAGGAGAUGCGAAUUCUGAUGGUGGGUCUUGAUGCUGCCGGAAAGACCACUAUUUUGUACAAGCUCAAGCUUGGAGAAAUUGUCACCACCAUCCCUACUAUUGGAUUUAAUGUGGAGACAGUGGAAUAUAAGAACAUCAGCUUCACUGUUUGGGAUGUUGGUGGUCAGGACAAGGUGUGAGAUUCUUUAAAUAUAAUUCCAUCUCUUUGAUGGCGGUGAAGUCUUCUCUUUGAUAAUUUUGAUGAGAUACUACUUUUUUUUUUCAAUCCUUGUCUUGCAUUAGACUAUAACACUUAUGGAAUGAACAAUUUUGUUUAAAAAUAAUUAUGUAGAGGUUAGCACUAUAGUUUAUAAUCUUUUUGAUUGUUUAAAGUGAAUACUAUUUUGUCAUAUAGAUUCGUCCCUUGUGGAGGCACUACUUCCAAAACACCCAGGGUCUCAUAUUUGUGGUGGACAGCAAUGACAGAGACCGUGUUGUGGAGGCAAGGGAUGAGUUACACAGAAUGUUGAAUGAGGAUGAGCUGCGAGAUGCAGUGUUGCUUGUAUUUGCUAAUAAGCAGGAUCUUCCCAAUGCAAUGAAUGCUGCUGAGAUCACUGACAAGCUUGGGCUACACUCCCUCCGUCAGCGUCGCUGGUAAACUUACUAUUUAUGUUUUCCUGUUACUUGUGCUUGUAGUUAUCAAUUUUGGCCUUCAUUAUUUUGCUUGUAAUUCUUCCCCCUCUCCUGUUUUGGGUGCAGUUAACAUAAUCUGACCUUAGAUAAGAAUAAACUUAACAUUCCUUAGAUCAAAUAUUUGUAUCAAGAUUUGUGCAGAGUCAAUUCAGGUCUACACAUAAUUAAAAUAAUGAGUGCAUCAAUUUCGAUGCAAAUAUUUGAUCUAAAAGUUGUUAAGUUUGUUUUUAUAUAAUGCUGAGCUUAUAGUUUCUGCACCAUUUUUUGCUGUUAGGAUUUUAUGGAUGAUCAAAAUAUGCUUUGUGGUCCUUAGGUACAUCCAGAGCACCUGUGCAACCUCUGGUGAGGGGCUUUAUGAGGGCUUGGACUGGCUAUCCAAUAAUAUUGCUAACAAGGCAUAAAGCAAACAAUGAGACAUUUUGUGGAAUGGCAAUUCUGGAUGCAGGGUGAAUAUUAUCUAGUGAUUUUGUUUUUCUUUUUGAGAGAACUGGAUUGUGUUUACAUCCCUUUUCUUUUUGGGAUGAUCUUUCUAAUUAGGACCCUGUUUACUCUUUUUUGUUUUUAUUAAUUUUUUUUUUAGCGAAGUAACUUGUAGUGGAAUAUGGGCUGGAUAUACCAUUGAGAAUUUAUCUGCAGUUGGAUUCGAUGCUUCUAGUUGUAAUUGAAAUGUAUUUUGUGUUCCAUCCUUUCCUAUAUUGCUUUUACCCGCUAGGUAUUCUUGCAACAGUUUGGUAUUUUGUUACUUUUUAUGCGUAUAUUCCAGUGACGGAGCAAGAUGAAGUCCCAUGUCUAAAAUGUUGUGUUAAAUGUUUGUUCCUAUAUAGUUUGAUAGAUAAUGAUUAUUAUGUUGUGUUAAAUGUUUGUUCCUAUAUAGUUUGAUAGAUAAUGAUUAUUAUUUUUUCCAUAAAUUAGUCUCGGGGAGAUCAGGUCGUUGUUCUAAAAGUUAUUGGUGGCAAGUUCUUUUGGUGUUAGGGGUUGUAAAAUCUCCUGGUUUUCACUGGAUUUGAUUGUAUUUGCAUAUACCCUGUGAACUUCAAUUAUGGGUCUAGUUCAGGAUUAAAAGUAAUUAUAAAAAAAAAAACU